GGAGGAGAGGGGAGAGCUGGACGGACAGACAGAGACAGCAGUCCCCAAAACAAAAGUCUGCCCUCUUGAGAAAAUCUAACCCUAGGCAGGAGCAAUUAGCCAACUCCAGUCCCGUCUAGGCUUUCUGUCUAGUUUAAGAUUU
Sapajus apella (tufted capuchin) is the source of this 142-nucleotide long non-coding RNA. RefSeq lists it as uncharacterized. The record is from RefSeq and is a predicted model, not a curated record. Lineage: Eukaryota; Metazoa; Chordata; Mammalia; Primates; Cebidae. The transcript is spliced from 4 exons.